This 254-nucleotide ribosomal RNA is filed under the name uncultured bacterium. RNAcentral's name for it is "partial 16S ribosomal RNA". It matches the Rfam family "Bacterial small subunit ribosomal RNA", at positions 524 to 776 of the family's 1533-position model. The record is from RNAcentral.
GACGAACCGUGCGAACGUUGUUCGGAUUCACUGGGCUUAAAGGGCGCGUAGGCGGGCGGUCAAGUCGGGGGGUGAAAUCUUUCAGCUUAACUGGAAAAGUGCCUCCGAUACUGAUCGCCUCGAGGGAGGUAGGGGCAUGUGGAACUUCCGGUGGAGCGGUGAAAUGCGUAGAUAUCGGAAGGAACGCCGGUGGCGAAAGCGCGGUCCUGGACGCCAUCUGACGCUGAGAGACGAAAGCUAGGGGAGCGAAUGGG